UAUAUAUACAAAAUAAAAUAAUAUAAAAGAUUUCCGGAGCAGUCCUCGUAUUUACUUGGGGAGUACUGCCAUCUGCCGGUAGUUAUCUGGCCCCAGCGUGUCAGCUGGUUUGCUGUCAAUGCCGUUUUCGUGUCGGACUGUAGGUUAAUUUCCACGUGCAGUGCUGUCUAGAAUGUAACAAAUUAAUUGAUGCGGGAUUGAGGGCUGCGCCACCCGAACGAGGUAACCAACAGAACCUGCGGGCCCCUUAUGGUUAACGUAGGCCGGAGCACUGUGCCCCAGGUUCAGGCAGGACGGGGCGACGGGAAGAUACUACGGAGGUGUACUUCGUAUAAAACCAGGAGUCACGCUCUGAUUUCGUUUUGAAGACACGGACAGGUAGGAACGUAUGGAGAGUAGCUGGUAAUCUUGCGGAAUACUUGUUGUGGAACUGGUCAGAGUAAUAAAGGGCUAACGGCAACACACUCAACACAGGGAACGACAGGGGUGCAGGUUAACAAAGGUUUUACAGGUACUGGAACGACGGUUAAGGGUACAAAUUAUAUAGGAAUAAAUCACAGGUAAAUAAGGCUGGUUAAUAGCAAAAGGCACUGGUAAAGAUAGAAGCAAA
Molecule: long non-coding RNA, 610 nt
Organism: Photinus pyralis (common eastern firefly)
Lineage: Eukaryota; Metazoa; Arthropoda; Insecta; Coleoptera; Lampyridae
Exons: 3
Source: RefSeq, a predicted model, not a curated record